GAAAGUUGUGGCAGUCUGGGCGAACAAUACUCUUUAAGUUUGACCUCAAAUCAGGUAGGAUUACCCGCUGAACUUAAGCAUAUCAAUAAGCGGAGGAAAAGAAACCAACCGGGAUUGCCUUAGUAACGGCGAGUGAAGCGGCAAAAGCUCAAAUUUGAAAUCUAGUACCUUUGGUGCUCGAGUUGUAAUUUGUAGAGGGAUACUUUGGGGCCGUCUCUUAUCUAUGUUCCUUGGAACAGGACGUCAUAGAGGGUGAGAAUCCCGUAUGAUGAGAGUCGCGGUUCUAUGUAAAGUUCCUUCGAAGAGUCGAGUUGUUUGGGAAUGCAGCUCUAAGUGGGUGGUAAAUUCCAUCUAAAGCUAAAUAUUGGCGAGAGACCGAUAGCGAACAAGUACAGUGAUGGAAAGAUGAAAAGAACUUUGAAAAGAGAGUGAAAAAGUACGUGAAAUUGUUGAAAGGGAAGGGCAUUUGAUCAGACAUGGUGUUUUGCGCCCUCUGCUCCUUGUGGGUGGGGGACUCUCGCAGCUCACUGGGCCAGCAUCAGUUUUGGCGGUAGGAUAAAUCCAUAGGAAUGUAGCUUGCCUCGGUAAGUGUUAUAGCCUGUGGGAAUACUGCCAGCCGGGACUGAGGACUGCGACAUUCGUCAAGGAUGCUGCU
RNAcentral lists this ribosomal RNA (655 nucleotides) under Jamesozyma zonata. RNAcentral describes it as "LSU rRNA". It matches the Rfam family "Eukaryotic large subunit ribosomal RNA", at positions 1 to 630 of the family's 3401-position model. The record is from RNAcentral. Lineage: Eukaryota; Fungi; Ascomycota; Saccharomycetes; Saccharomycetales; Saccharomycetaceae.